UCAUUGCUUGAUUUUUUUUCAACUAUUGCAUAAUUGAGGAUCCUAGAAUUUUCAAUAAGCUAAAUAUUCUCUGACUUCUAAAUGACUGAUCCAUUCUGUAGAAGUGUAAUUACAAGAACAAAUGCAUUUGGUAAAUUCACAGCUCGAUGGAGAUUUGAAUAAUUUUUUUUCAUCACAUGGUUUAAUAAAUGAACAAAACCAUGUUACAAAAUAAUGCACUUAAAACAUAUUUCAACUAUCUUUAAAAAAUUUCCUUUGUAUAUUGCUAAUUUAACGCAGAUGAUGGAAAUUAUUAAAUUCUACAUUUGAGUAAUAACUGUAUGAAAUACACUAUUGAGUUCCGUAAUAACUGAGUCACUAGUACAUUGCUACAAGGUAAAUUACAGACCUCCAAGGUCACAAAUUAAAAGAAGGGGAGAAAAACAACACAAAAGCGCAAUAUGCUAAUAUGUAAAACAAAACAAAAAAACUCCAUGAAACAAAGGGAGUCAUCUUUUUUGAUUAAUGAUACUACCUAAAAUAUUCCACAUGUCCUUCUCCAGUAUCUAUACUGCCACCUGCUAAAUUAUGACAAUAAUUCAUUUUUUUACGCCGUUUUUUCUUUGUCCAAGAAAUGACAUUUCAUCAUUUUCAUAAUGGCAUUUCUCCCCCGAUCACAUCAACAUUAACAUUUUGACAAAAAUGAAAACAAAAGUUUUUUUUUCGGGCAAUGAUAUCAUUGAUUUCUGUUUAGCUAUUAUUUACUUGGUAUUUUGGAGUAGUGCGUGAUUUAUGGGUUUCACAAAUGUACAACUCAGGUCUGAUUAUGAUUUAUUUUUAAAUAAAGUCUACUGAUAAAUGCAUACCAGGGUGCAGCUCUCUUUAACGAAUCAAGAGGCACCCAGAGAUAGUUUAAACCUAGAUCUAUUAAUACAUACACAACUACCUAUGCUCAGGUAAAUGGGGGUAAAUUUGGGGAAUUGAUACGGUAUUACAUUUGUAUAACGGCACUUCCUCUCUCACAAUAGCCGUUUCAUUCAAAACACCGCUGGCCACAAUGGUAUUUAUCACUACUUUACAGAUAAAAUUUAAAAACCCUUUUCAAUGCUAUAUUUACACAACUCCACUGAAAAUUGACAAAAAAUGAGUGCAAUUACCUACUUUUUCUAAUCUUUUAUGUAACAAAGUUCAACUUUUUUUCCUUAGACAAAAUUCCAUUUUUCCCCCCUCUUUUGAGCCUUAGGUCAAUCUUAUCCAAUUAAUAUUUCGGAUCUUGAAGCCUGAAGAGUGCUUGUUUUUGGGAGAAAGAUUUUCUUUGUGAAGAUAGAGUCAUGUAGGCACCGGAUGUACAUACAAUAGAAUUCAGCUCCAGUUUCCUUGGUGAAACUUCCAAACAUGAAGUGAAUGCGUCUGAGACAAAUGCUACUACAUUUUGAUAAAGCAAUAGAUAAUCUUGAAAAGUGUUAAUUUAAAGAACACUGGAGCACCCAUGCAUGCCUUGUAAUACGCUUGGUUGAACACAAAGGUUCUCACAACUUUGGCAUCUUUAAAGAGAAGUGUUCCAUAAGGAGAGUACUCCAGCUAGUAGCCCGAAAGAACAAGCCUAUGCUGCCUUUGUUUUAUUUCUUGAAUCAAUAUAGAGCAGGAAAAAAAAUUUCAUCUAAUUCUUGUAUCUCUUUAAUUUGAUUUUGCGUAACAGUGAAUGACGAAAUUAUUAAAUAUUCAUCAUCAGCAGUGAGCGAAAUGUGAUAAUUCUUGAAAGACGCAGUCGGGAUCUGUUUGCGGAGCAUUGUUUACAUAGUAAUUCUGAAAUCUACGUCACUGAUUAGAAGCGCACUCCAAAGGCAUUAAAUACAAAAGAAUCAAUGCGUCUCAGAUAUAUUUCAUAUAUCCCGAGUUUCAGCAAACACGGAAUCCACUUGAUUUAAAGGAAAAUAAACUCUUGUGUGACCGUUUAUGUACGGAAACGUCUGUACAAUUACAGUAUUAUUUUUCCACAUAAAAGACAAAGUUAAAAUAAGUGGUAUUGAUUAAGCAAGUAAAUGAGUGUCCAAAGCAAAUCAAUUUCAUGUUCGCCAUCUUUUAAUAUAUAUGUAAUUUCAGGUCCCCAGAGGCCACUCGUGUUGCAACAAACAAUCUCUUAUUCAUAAUUGAUUAAUAAAAUCUGCCUAUUCAAUAUGUAUUAUAGGCAGCCAUUAGGGUUUUCAUUUUGUGAAAUGUAAGUGCACUCUUGAUAAUAUAGCGUUGGAUAAUGAAAUUGAAUACAGCGACAUUGUUUCCUUUCAUUGCCGAUUCCUAAUGUUAAAACCGACUUUGAGGGACAAUCAGAUAAAUAAGUCUUACCCAUCUGUCUCUGAAAUUGUAUCCCCCAACCCAAACACCACCAGGGGGAGAGAAAAGCUUAGGGUUUUUUAUCACCCAUCUAAUAUUCCUUUUGUCAAAUUACAUGUGUACUGCAAUGGAAGGGAAAUUGAUUACCAGGAUCCACAACUCAAACAAUUAAUAAAAAUUGGAGAUCAACAACAUAUUGCCGGUUUUAAAUUGUAAAGAUCAUGAUUUCGAAGUAAUUCUUUCUUCUCUUUUUUAAAGGCAGAGAAAAUAUCAAUAUAUAAUAUACAUAUGUUUUAUUAAAUUUAAAACAGCGAAGACAUUUGUCAAUCUGUCAAGAUAAUUUAAAACAACCAAUUCAAGGGCCAUUAUAAAUAUUACUGGUAAACCUAAAUGUUGCUAUAGAGGUAACUUUUCAAAUGAGAAAUUGGCUACAAAGUCAUCUGUUUUAAAAGCAGGGUUUCAAUUAAUCAAAAAGUCUGCCAAAACAUAAUGUCUUUAUCUUUCCUUGAUGCUGUUACUAUUCAAAAAACAAACAGAAAAUACAACCCUACGAUUGCUACUUGACCUCUUCAACUCCCGACCUUUCAUCGAUAAAUCAUUGGAAAUUAUCUCUUAUUUCCUUCAUGCAACCAAAGCAUUAACUGACAAUAUAAAAGAUAAUAAUAAAAUUGUUCAUAUAACUUGUAAAAAAAUUAUU
This is a long non-coding RNA of Magallana angulata, 3007 nucleotides long. RefSeq lists it as uncharacterized. The record is from RefSeq and is a predicted model, not a curated record. NCBI's taxonomy places the organism in Eukaryota, Metazoa, Mollusca, Bivalvia, Ostreida, Ostreidae. The transcript is spliced from 3 exons.